RNAcentral lists this ribosomal RNA (2919 nucleotides) under Escherichia coli K-12. RNAcentral's name for it is "23S ribosomal RNA". It matches the Rfam family "Bacterial large subunit ribosomal RNA". Lineage: Bacteria; Pseudomonadati; Pseudomonadota; Gammaproteobacteria; Enterobacterales; Enterobacteriaceae. The record is from RNAcentral.
GGGUUGUGAGGUUAAGCGACUAAGCGUACACGGUGGAUGCCCUGGCAGUCAGAGGCGAUGAAGGACGUGCUAAUCUGCGAUAAGCGUCGGUAAGGUGAUAUGAACCGUUAUAACCGGCGAUUUCCGAAUGGGGAAACCCAGUGUGUUUCGACACACUAUCAUUAACUGAAUCCAUAGGUUAAUGAGGCGAACCGGGGGAACUGAAACAUCUAAGUACCCCGAGGAAAAGAAAUCAACCGAGAUUCCCCCAGUAGCGGCGAGCGAACGGGGAGCAGCCCAGAGCCUGAAUCAGUGUGUGUGUUAGUGGAAGCGUCUGGAAAGGCGCGCGAUACAGGGUGACAGCCCGUACACAAAAAUGCACAUGCUGUGAGCUCGAUGAGUAGGGCGGGACACGUGGUAUCCUGUCUGAAUAUGGGGACCAUCCUCCAAGGCUAAAUACUCCUGACUGACCGAUAGUGAACCAGUACCGUGAGGGAAAGGCGAAAAGAACCCCGGCGAGGGAGUGAAAAGAACCUGAAACCGUGUACGUACAAGCAGUGGGAGCACGCUUAGGCGUGUGACUGCGUACCUUUGUAUAAUGGGUCAGCGACUUAUAUUCUGUAGCAAGGUUAACCGAAUAGGGGAGCCGAAGGGAAACCGAGUCUUAACUGGGCGUUAAGUUGCAGGGUAUAGACCCGAAACCCGGUGAUCUAGCCAUGGGCAGGUUGAAGGUUGGGUAACACUAACUGGAGGACCGAACCGACUAAUGUUGAAAAAUUAGCGGAUGACUUGUGGCUGGGGGUGAAAGGCCAAUCAAACCGGGAGAUAGCUGGUUCUCCCCGAAAGCUAUUUAGGUAGCGCCUCGUGAAUUCAUCUCCGGGGGUAGAGCACUGUUUCGGCAAGGGGGUCAUCCCGACUUACCAACCCGAUGCAAACUGCGAAUACCGGAGAAUGUUAUCACGGGAGACACACGGCGGGUGCUAACGUCCGUCGUGAAGAGGGAAACAACCCAGACCGCCAGCUAAGGUCCCAAAGUCAUGGUUAAGUGGGAAACGAUGUGGGAAGGCCCAGACAGCCAGGAUGUUGGCUUAGAAGCAGCCAUCAUUUAAAGAAAGCGUAAUAGCUCACUGGUCGAGUCGGCCUGCGCGGAAGAUGUAACGGGGCUAAACCAUGCACCGAAGCUGCGGCAGCGACGCUUAUGCGUUGUUGGGUAGGGGAGCGUUCUGUAAGCCUGCGAAGGUGUGCUGUGAGGCAUGCUGGAGGUAUCAGAAGUGCGAAUGCUGACAUAAGUAACGAUAAAGCGGGUGAAAAGCCCGCUCGCCGGAAGACCAAGGGUUCCUGUCCAACGUUAAUCGGGGCAGGGUGAGUCGACCCCUAAGGCGAGGCCGAAAGGCGUAGUCGAUGGGAAACAGGUUAAUAUUCCUGUACUUGGUGUUACUGCGAAGGGGGGACGGAGAAGGCUAUGUUGGCCGGGCGACGGUUGUCCCGGUUUAAGCGUGUAGGCUGGUUUUCGCAAAUCCGGAAAAUCAAGGCUGAGGCGUGAUGACGAGGCACUACGGUGCUGAAGCAACAAAUGCCCUGCUUCCAGGAAAAGCCUCUAAGCAUCAGGUAACAUCAAAUCGUACCCCAAACCGACACAGGUGGUCAGGUAGAGAAUACCAAGGCGCUUGAGAGAACUCGGGUGAAGGAACUAGGCAAAAUGGUGCCGUAACUUCGGGAGAAGGCACGCUGAUAUGUAGGUGAGGUCCCUCGCGGAUGGAGCUGAAAUCAGUCGAAGAUACCAGCUGGCUGCAACUGUUUAUUAAAAACACAGCACUGUGCAAACACGAAAGUGGACGUAUACGGUGUGACGCCUGCCCGGUGCCGGAAGGUUAAUUGAUGGGGUUAGCGCAAGCGAAGCUCUUGAUCGAAGCCCCGGUAAACGGCGGCCGUAACUAUAACGGUCCUAAGGUAGCGAAAUUCCUUGUCGGGUAAGUUCCGACCUGCACGAAUGGCGUAAUGAUGGCCAGGCUGUCUCCACCCGAGACUCAGUGAAAUUGAACUCGCUGUGAAGAUGCAGUGUACCCGCGGCAAGACGGAAAGACCCGUGAACCUUUACUAUAGCUUGACACUGAACAUUGAGCCUUGAUGUGUAGGAUAGGUGGGAGGCUUUGAAGUGUGGACGCCAGUCUGCAUGGAGCCGACCUUGAAAUACCACCCUUUAAUGUUUGAUGUUCUAACGUUGACCCGUAAUCCGGGUUGCGGACAGUGUCUGGUGGGUAGUUUGACUGGGGCGGUCUCCUCCUAAAGAGUAACGGAGGAGCACGAAGGUUGGCUAAUCCUGGUCGGACAUCAGGAGGUUAGUGCAAUGGCAUAAGCCAGCUUGACUGCGAGCGUGACGGCGCGAGCAGGUGCGAAAGCAGGUCAUAGUGAUCCGGUGGUUCUGAAUGGAAGGGCCAUCGCUCAACGGAUAAAAGGUACUCCGGGGAUAACAGGCUGAUACCGCCCAAGAGUUCAUAUCGACGGCGGUGUUUGGCACCUCGAUGUCGGCUCAUCACAUCCUGGGGCUGAAGUAGGUCCCAAGGGUAUGGCUGUUCGCCAUUUAAAGUGGUACGCGAGCUGGGUUUAGAACGUCGUGAGACAGUUCGGUCCCUAUCUGCCGUGGGCGCUGGAGAACUGAGGGGCUGCUCCUAGUACGAGAGGACCGGAGUGGACGCAUCACUGGUGUUCGGGUUGUCAUGCCAAUGGCACUGCCCGGUAGCUAAAUGCGGAAGAGAUAAGUGCUGAAAGCAUCUAAGCACGAAACUUGCCCCGAGAUGAGUUCUCCCUGACUCCUUGAGAGUCCUGAAGGAACGUUGAAGACGACGACGUUGAUAGGCCGGGUGUGUAAGCGCAGCGAUGCGUUGAGCUAACCGGUACUAAUGAACCGUGAGGCUUAACCUUACAACGCCGAAGGUGUUU